UACGUAGGGUGCAGGCGUUAAUCGGAAUUACUGGGCGUAAAGCGUGCGCAGGCGGUUUGCUAAGACAGGUGUGAAAUCCCCGGGCUUAACCUGGGAACUGCGCUUGUAACUGGCAAGCUUGAGUGUGGCAGAGGGGGGUGGAAUUCCACGUGUAGCAGUGAAAUGCGUAGAGAUGUGGGGGAACACCGAUGGCGAAGGCAGCCCCCUGGGCUAACACUGACGCUCAUGCACGAAAGCGUGGGGAGCAAACAGG
Molecule: ribosomal RNA, 253 nt
Filed under: uncultured bacterium
Lineage: Bacteria
Description: partial 16S ribosomal RNA
Rfam family: Bacterial small subunit ribosomal RNA
Source: RNAcentral